UACAGAGGCCUCAAGCGUUGUUCGGAAUUACUGGGCGUAAAGGGUGCGUAGACCGUGGGGUAAGUUUGUCGUGAAAUCUUAAGGCUCAACCUUAAAACUGCGGCGAAUACUGCUCUGCUAGAGGUAUGGAAGGGGAACUGGAAUUUUCGGUGUAGCAGUGAAAUGCGUAGAUAUCGAAAAGAACACCAGCGGCGAAAGCGAGUUCCUGGACAUCACCUGACGUUGAGGCACGAAAGCUAGGGGAGCAAACGGG
This 253-nucleotide ribosomal RNA is filed under the name uncultured bacterium. RNAcentral's name for it is "partial 16S ribosomal RNA". It matches the Rfam family "Bacterial small subunit ribosomal RNA", at positions 524 to 776 of the family's 1533-position model. The record is from RNAcentral.